Molecule: ribosomal RNA, 155 nt
Filed under: Providencia rettgeri
Lineage: Bacteria; Pseudomonadati; Pseudomonadota; Gammaproteobacteria; Enterobacterales; Morganellaceae
Description: partial 16S ribosomal RNA
Rfam family: Bacterial small subunit ribosomal RNA
Source: RNAcentral
UUGUACACACCGCCCGUCACACCAUGGGAGUGGGUUGCAAAAGAAGUAGGUAGCUUAACCUUCGGGAGGGCGCUUACCACUUUGUGAUUCAUGACUGGGGUGAAGUCGUAACAAGGUAACCGUAGGGGAACCUGCGGUUGGAUCACCUCCUUACC